GCUAACCGUUAAGCGUUCGUUAGGAAUUGAAGCCUAACGUUCUCCGCAUCCAGACAUGCUGGAUCCCGGGUGGUGCCUAGCCACCCUGUUUGACGCCUCCCUGUUUGACUUCUGAGCCGCCGCAAGGCGGCUCAUUUUUU
This 140-nucleotide small RNA is filed under the name Hyphomicrobium nitrativorans NL23. RNAcentral describes it as "Hyphomicrobium sp. NL23 Alphaproteobacterial sRNA BjrC1505". It matches the Rfam family "Alphaproteobacterial sRNA BjrC1505". The record is from Rfam by way of RNAcentral. Lineage: Bacteria; Pseudomonadati; Pseudomonadota; Alphaproteobacteria; Hyphomicrobiales; Hyphomicrobiaceae.